GCACAAUAUGGCCAAAUAGAAUGCUCCAGUAAUUGUCCUCACCCUACAAAGACAACAAACUGAACAAAAAUGUACACAAGAAAGCACCUUUAUAAGGACCAAAAAUCAGGUCUUAGUUCCAGAGGGAGGAACUCUGCCACCAGGAGACACAACAAGGCUAAGAAGGGAAUUACAGUGUUGGCUGGAGUGAUUGACCUGGACUACAAGAUGAAAGUCUACUACUUCACAACAGAGGUACCAUGGCUCACACUUGCAAUCCCAGCACUUUGAGAAGUCAAGGCGCAAGAGGAUAACUUGAGGUCAGGAGUUCAAGACCAGCCUGGCCAAUAUGGUGAAACUCCAUCUCUACUAAAAAUACAAAAAUUACCUACUGUGGAGGAUGAAGCACUAGAAUGGCUUGAACUCAAGAGGCAGAAUUUGCAAUGAGCUGAGAUCACACUACUGCACUUCAGCUAGGUCUUACAUAUUCACCAGAUAAAAUGUACAACUACCAAUUGCCUGUCCAGUAAUUUUUCUGGGAGUUGCUAUCUCUCAAUGAACAUAGAAAGAUGGAUGAGUUUAAGAAUACUCUGUUUGUCUCACAAAGUAGCACCUUCACAGUAGAGACAUGGUUGUCUAGAAUUCUGGUUAUUGUAGAUCCUAGGAUUCUGAAUGGGCCAUAACUGAGUUGGUUAACCUCACUUCUACUCACAGAUGAUCUUACUUUCAUGAGGUAGACUUUUUCUAGUUUCUUAAUCUAGUCUCAUUAGCCCAUAUAUUGGCCUUCAUUUUAUCUUUUUUAAAAUUUUUGUCUCUUUUUAAUUUUUUUAUUGCUUUGCAUGUUCUUAGAAUUUUCUACAGGUUUAUAAUAAUUUAUAGGAUAUCUGGAGCGAUUUAGUCAGAAACUAAAGAUCAGAUAUAUUUUAAUCUAGAAAUUUCCAAUUAAUUAUUCAACAUAGCAUAUGUCACAAGUGUAUAAAAGAAGUAUCCAUAAACAAAUAAAUGGGUGAAAAACGGUGGUUGCCAGGGGUUGGGGCUGGUGGAAACAGGGAGAUGCUGGUUAGUGGGUAAAAACUUUCAGUUAUAAGCUGAAUAAGCUAUUGGGAGAAGCAUGGUAAUAAUAGCUAAUAAUAAUAAUACAUUGUUUACUUGAUAUUUGCAAAGUGAGUAGAUUGUGUUUCCACCACACACACACGCACGCCAAUGAUAACUAAUUGUGAUGAUGGAUGUGUCAGUUGAAUUGACUGUGGCAAUCAUUUCACAAUGGAUACAUGUAUAAAAUAAUCAUGUAUACCUUGAAUAUAUAUAAUUUUUAUCUGUCUAUUAUGCCUUAAUAAAGCUGAAAAAAUAAA
Callithrix jacchus (white-tufted-ear marmoset) is the source of this 1331-nucleotide long non-coding RNA. RefSeq lists it as uncharacterized. Lineage: Eukaryota; Metazoa; Chordata; Mammalia; Primates; Cebidae. The record is from RefSeq and is a predicted model, not a curated record.